This 67-nucleotide transfer RNA is filed under the name Marmota monax (woodchuck). RNAcentral's name for it is "tRNA.Ala". The record is from RNAcentral. Lineage: Eukaryota; Metazoa; Chordata; Mammalia; Rodentia; Sciuridae.
GGCUGUAGCUCAGUGGUACAGCGUGUGCCUAGCAUGAGUGAGGCCCUGGGUUCGAUCCUCAGCGCCA